GAUGAAGAACGCAGCGAAAUGCGAUAAGUAAUGUGAAUUGCAGAAUUCAGUGAAUCAUCGAAUCUUUGAACGCACAUUGCGCCCCUUGGUAUUCCGAGGGGCAUGCCUGUUCGAGCGUCAUUAUAACCCCUCAAGCUCAGCUUGGAGUUGGGGCCUGCUGCACUGGCAGCCCUUAAAAUCAGUGGCGGCGCCAUCUGGCUCUAAGCGUAGUAAUUCUUCUCGCUAUGGAGUCCUGGUGGAUGCUUGCCAUCAACCCCCAAUUUUUCUAUGGUUGACCUCGGAUCAGGUAGGGAUACCCGCUGAACUUAAGCAUAUCAAUAAGCGGAGGA
RNAcentral lists this unclassified non-coding RNA (329 nucleotides) under soil metagenome. RNAcentral describes it as "partial contains 5.8S ribosomal RNA, internal transcribed spacer 2, and large subunit ribosomal RNA". The stretch from base 1 to 120 matches the Rfam family "5.8S ribosomal RNA", at positions 35 to 154 of the family's 154-position model. The record is from RNAcentral.